Papaver somniferum (opium poppy) is the source of this 384-nucleotide long non-coding RNA. RefSeq lists it as uncharacterized. The record is from RefSeq and is a predicted model, not a curated record. The transcript has 3 exons. NCBI's taxonomy places the organism in Eukaryota, Viridiplantae, Streptophyta, Magnoliopsida, Ranunculales, Papaveraceae.
UAGUUACCUCAAUGCUAGAUGUUACUCUUUUUCGCUGGAUCAACAAAUAUACAAAAUGGGCAAAGAAGCAUUCUAAUUUCUGCGGACAAUUUCAAACUCUCCAUUUUCCUCUAUGCGUUGUUAAGGUUUUUGUGAAGAUUCUUUUGUCGAUCAUCCCACUACUGCUAAAAUUUGGCUUAUUUUUGCCUUUCAUGGUGAAUUCUUUAAUUUGGUGGAUAUGUAUGAUUCGUAGCUGCGGCAAUUACUCUUGGUAAGGAAGCAAGAUCCAGAACAACAUAGAGUUUUUUUGGGGCUAAUCAGGAAGAGGACAUACAUCAAGAUUUGCAUAGCUCGCCACUUUUUAAUUUGUUAUUGACCAACCUCUUUUAGUCUAUUUUUUUUUCC